This is a microRNA precursor of Monodelphis domestica (gray short-tailed opossum), 63 nucleotides long. NCBI's taxonomy places the organism in Eukaryota, Metazoa, Chordata, Mammalia, Didelphimorphia, Didelphidae. The record is from Ensembl.
UUCAAAGCCAGCAUAACCCAUAACUGGAGCCAUUUCGCCAGUUAUGGGUUAUGCUGGCUUUGA